CGUGUAGGCUGCUUGGAAAGUCGGAUGUGAAAGCCCUGGGCUCAACCUAGGAAGAGCAUUCGAAACUUCCAAGCUCGAGUUUCGGAGAGGAAGGCGGAAUUCUCGGUGUAGAGGUGAAAUUCGUGGAUAUCGAGAGGAACAUCGGUGGCGAAGGCGGCCUUCUGGACGAUGACUGACGCUGAGACGCGAAAGCGUGGGGAGCAAACA
Molecule: ribosomal RNA, 207 nt
Filed under: uncultured delta proteobacterium
Lineage: Bacteria; Deltaproteobacteria
Description: partial 16S ribosomal RNA
Rfam family: Bacterial small subunit ribosomal RNA
Source: RNAcentral